Molecule: long non-coding RNA, 766 nt
Organism: Priapulus caudatus
Lineage: Eukaryota; Metazoa; Priapulida; Priapulimorpha; Priapulimorphida; Priapulidae
Exons: 2
Source: RefSeq, a predicted model, not a curated record
UGCCGCCGUCAUAGCAGGCGAAGCUGGUGCGAGUGGGAGGCAUGGCGCGGGGCGUGGACGCCCCGGACACCGCGGCCGACCACAUCCACCUAAGGGGCGACUGAAGCUACGGGAACAGAAUACUUCGAUAACACGUCUGGAGAUUCUAUGGACAGGCAGAUGCUUGACAACAGACAUGACUUGGAUGAUGACAGCGGAUAGGCACAUGAAAAUGGGCGCAUUACGGACUUUUCGUUCGAAUUUUUGAAACUUUGCACAGGCGUACUACAUGAGGUCCUGGCAUAAUGUUAUAGCUUUAAAAGUAAAUAACCUAUUUAGAACGAAACAACUGCGAUUAUUCUCAUGUAUCUGUAAUAUUACAACAACAAUAUGUUGAGUAUUGGUAUCUGUAAGUUGUAAUAAAAUUAGGUUAAAACAAUAAAAUGGGUAAAAAUAAUAGAAAAAUUCCUUCCACUAGUAUAUUAAAUGACCGAUACAUCAAAUAUUGUUCAGUUUGCAUGUCAAACUGUUACUGAUUUAGUACACAAACAGAUUAUGCAAGCAAGAUUCUAGUUAAUUGAACCAAUUAAGCAACGGCACCUGGUGUCGUACAGCGCCCCUGGCGGUUGAACAUAUAUUGCUUUAUACUACUUCGGGUUUUGGAUAUAACUUCCAAAAUACUUGUCCAAUUUAGUCAAACAAAUUCCUCACAUGAUUAGCAUGCAUCGAUACUAAUACUGUAGCAGAAUUUGUUUGGUUUUAAUAAACAUAUAGUGAAACAAUGAAA